AACGAACGUUGGCGGCGUGGAUUAGGCAUGCAAGUCGAACGAAUCCCAGGCCUUGUAGCAAUACCGGGCUUGGGGGAAGUGGCGAAAGGGGCAGUAAUGCAUGGACAACCUACCCUGGGGACCGGGAUAGCCUUUCUAACGAAAGGGUAAUACCGGGCGAUGUGGUUGAGAGGCAUCUCUUGACCAUGAGAUGAAUUUCGCCUCGGGAGGGGUUCAUGUCGUAUUAGCUUGUUGGCGGGGUAACGGCCCACCAAGGCAAAGAUGCGUAGCGGGUGUGAGAGCACGACCCGCGCCACUGGCACUGAGACACUGGCCAGACUCCUACGGGAGGCUGCAGUCGAGGAUCUUCGGCAAUGGGCGCAAGCCUGACCGAGCGACGCCGCGUGAGCGAUGAAGGCCUUCGGGUUGUAAAGCUCUUUAGUGGGGGAGAAAAGCGCAAGCUUGAUCUAUCCCAAGAAUAAGCACGGGCUAAGUUCGUGCCAGCAGCCGCGGUAAUAC
Molecule: ribosomal RNA, 498 nt
Filed under: uncultured bacterium
Lineage: Bacteria
Description: bacterial SSU rRNA
Rfam family: Bacterial small subunit ribosomal RNA
Source: RNAcentral